This 486-nucleotide ribosomal RNA is filed under the name uncultured bacterium. RNAcentral's name for it is "partial 16S ribosomal RNA". It matches the Rfam family "Bacterial small subunit ribosomal RNA", at positions 30 to 507 of the family's 1533-position model. The record is from RNAcentral.
AUUGAACGCUGGCGGCAUGCCUUACACAUGCAAGUCGAACGGCAGCACGGGUGCUUGCACCUGGCGGCGAGUGGCGAACGGGUGAGUAAUACAUCGGAACAUGUCCUGUAGUGGGGGAUAGCCCGGCGAAAGCCGGAUUAAUACCGCAUACGAUCUACGGAUGAAAGCGGGGGACCUUCGGGCCUCGCGCUAUAGGGUUGGCCGAUGGCUGAUUAGCUCGUUGGUGGGGUAAAGGCCUACCAAGGCGACGAUCAGUAGCUGGUCUGAGAGGACGACCAGCCACACUGGGACUGAGACACGGCCCAGACUCCUACGGGAGGCAGCAGUGGGGAAUUUUGGACAAAGGGCGAAAGCCUGAUCCAGCAAUGCCGCGUGUGUGAAGAAGGCCUUCGGGUUGUAAAGCACUUUUGUCCGGAAAGAAAUCCUUGGCCCUAAUACGGUCGGGGGAUGACGGUACCGGAAGAAUAAGCACCGGCUAACUACGUG